AUCGAACGCUGGCGGCGUGCCUUACACAUGCAAGUCGAACGGUAACAGGUCUUCGGAUGCUGACGAGUGGCGAACGGGUGAGUAAUACAUCGGAACGUGCCUAGUAGUGGGGGAUAACUACUCGAAAGAGUGGCUAAUACCGCAUGAGAUCUACGGAUGAAAGCAGGGGAUCGCAAGACCUUGUGCUACUAGAGCGGCCGAUGGCAGAUUAGGUAGUUGGUGGGAUAAAAGCUUACCAAGCCGACGAUCUGUAGCUGGUCUGAGAGGACGAUCAGCCACACUGGGACUGAGACACGGCCCAGACUCCUACGGGAGGCAGCAGUGGGGAAUUUUGGACAAUGGGCGAAAGCCUGAUCCAGCAAUGCCGCGUGCAGGAUGAAGGCCUUCGGGUUGUAAACUGCUUUUGUACGGAACGAAAAGCCCCGGGUUAAUACCCUGGGGUCAUGACGGUACCGUAAGAAUAAGCACCGGCUAACUACGUGCCAGCCGCCGCAGUAA
RNAcentral lists this ribosomal RNA (498 nucleotides) under uncultured bacterium. RNAcentral's name for it is "partial 16S ribosomal RNA". It matches the Rfam family "Bacterial small subunit ribosomal RNA", at positions 30 to 523 of the family's 1533-position model. The record is from RNAcentral.